Molecule: ribosomal RNA, 423 nt
Filed under: Triticum aestivum (bread wheat)
Lineage: Eukaryota; Viridiplantae; Streptophyta; Magnoliopsida; Poales; Poaceae
Description: partial small subunit ribosomal RNA
Source: RNAcentral
AUGACUGCUCUUAUCGGUAUGGCUCCUACCGAGGAGGAGGGAGAAGAGAAGAAGAAGAAGGAAAGGAAAGCAUCCGGAGCUGCUUUCAAGUGGAUUCAAACUCACUUUGCGACGUGCCCUCCGGAUGCCACUGAUGACGUGAUCCAGACACAUGCUCGUGUCUACAUGUGGUAUGUUGUGUCGAGGACUUUGUUUCCUGACUCCACUGGCAAGAACGCUCCAUGGAUGUGGCUGAAGGCGUUGACCGUCUUCGAUAGCAAAUGGAGCUGGGGUUCAGCGACUCUUGCCUACUUGUACCGACAGGUAGUUGGUCUGUUUUGUGAUCAACUCAUUUCUUCAUUAGCAAUGCAAGCUUGCUGUCAAGUUAACAUUGUUUUUCUUUCAUAUGCAGCUGGACGAUGCGUGUUGCAGGAUCACAGAUAG